Molecule: long non-coding RNA, 443 nt
Organism: Cloeon dipterum
Lineage: Eukaryota; Metazoa; Arthropoda; Insecta; Ephemeroptera; Baetidae
Exons: 2
Source: RefSeq, a predicted model, not a curated record
ACUUGACUUGGUUCUCCUUUGGUUCCAACAAUAAUACUGCAGAUAAUGACCAGUUUACAAUGAAAUUUGCCAAAGUUACAUACAUGUCUUCAAAGGCUUGCAACGCCUUUUACAACAAGCCUCCCUAUUGGUUCAGCGUUCCUGCUUCGAUGUUGUGUUUGAAUUUAACGGAAAUUGGAUACUGCGAUAGGGACAAUGGUUACCCACUCAUUGGAUACGCACAGGAUACAAAAACCAAGGUUUUUAAACCUUUUCUCGUCGGUUUGGCAGCCCAGGAUCGGGACAAUCUUUGUCCUCAAAACUCAUCGGCGACUUACUUCAACACUCCAGAUUUAUUCACCAGAUCGAUUCAUCCUACAAGUGGAUCGCAGCAAACGGAGGCCCAUCAGUGCAAUGAUUCAACAGAACUAAAUUUGUUGAGGAAAUAAAAUUUUAGACAUCAA